GGAGACGUCCCCGCUGGUGCUCCAGUACGGGCCGGCGACCACCGUAUGAGAGAGGAGAGCGGCGGGACGGAGCGGAGACCUCGGCUUCCAGAGCAGACAGCUCGUCUCUGAUGCUUCCUUCUUCCACAGACACCCUCUCAUCAGGCGUCCGCGGGGUGGAAUGGGAUCAUACUGGGUUGUGUGUUCUUUGUUUGUGCUAUUUUUUAAUUUUUUUUUUUUUUUUUAACCAAAGAGACAUCGAGACUCAGUUUUUCUGACUGGCGAAGAGGAGGGUGGAGUCCAGAGACCUCAGAGCUCAGGAGGAAUCUCUGCAGGAAUGGAAUUUUUGAAAGCAAAGCCACAGAGGAUUGCUGGGGAGAGCUGUGGUGUCAGUGAGGAGAGGGCAGGAGCCACAAGGACAACCCUGGGAAGGCCAUUUUCCUAUCUGCCCUCCUUUCACUGCACCUGGAGAAAUGAUUGUUGCACAAAGUUCUUGGAACAAAAUUAUAUUAGUAUUUUUAUUCUGAAAAAAGUCAAUAAUCGUUGUGCCAGAGCCACUGGAACUGGGUAAAGGUGAAGACCCUUUGCCUUGUGUCCAAGACUAAAGGAACACAUGCAGCCAGCCCCUGCACUCACAGACGUGUCAAUACCACACUAGAGAUUUGCUGUAGAGCAUCUCCUGCAACCCCCUGGGCUUCCCUGUCCCCCUGGGUGCCGUUCUGUUCUGGUGAUUGUGCUUCUCUAGUCCGUCCUACAGCAUGACAUUUUGUUAGCCGCUAGCUCUCCUGUUAACAAGGUUACUUUUCUGAUCUCCUGUGGUCCAUAGUAAAGAAGACUGCUGCUGACUGCCUAGCACUUGUCCUUCUUGUGGCUGGGUGCAUAGCAUUCCAUCAUCCAUCUCCCAAAGCAGCUCUGAUUCCAAGGGCUGGCUCCUCUUUCCCAGGAGCAUUUAGUGGGGUGCUUCCCACGUGUGGGAGCAAAGUACUAGUCAAAAAUGCUCUUCUGGGAUUCAUUGCUCUGUAAGGCAGCAAGCUAAGGUUGGGCGUACCAGGGCAUCACCUCCAUGGGCUGCUGAAACCCCAGAGCUGUAGGGCUGGAUGCCCAAGUCAGGUCCUGCAGCCUCCACUGAGGGAAGAACACCUGGAGAGGAGCAGGGAUGGCAGCGAGAGCUCCUCUCCAGGAGCAGGGAUGGCAGCGAGGGCUCACAGCUGUGUCACAGCUGGCACAAACGCUGUGAGCAAGGUGCCAGGCUGGCACCCCUUGGCAAGGCGAGGCUUUGAUGCUGGUGCUCCUGCAGCAGCCACCUCACUGUG
This 1292-nucleotide long non-coding RNA is filed under the name Zonotrichia albicollis (white-throated sparrow). RNAcentral's name for it is "lncRNA (ENSZALG00000000384.1)". The record is from RNAcentral. Lineage: Eukaryota; Metazoa; Chordata; Aves; Passeriformes; Passerellidae.